Molecule: long non-coding RNA, 522 nt
Filed under: Triticum aestivum (bread wheat)
Lineage: Eukaryota; Viridiplantae; Streptophyta; Magnoliopsida; Poales; Poaceae
Description: long non-coding RNA (TAES_LNC022312)
Source: RNAcentral
GAAGAGCCAUUUGUGGUAUGGGGAUGCAACACCAAGUUUUGGAAAUGGUGCAUGCAAGAGGAAGGUGGAACCAUGUACUCCCUCCGUCCCAAAAUAAGUGUCAACUUUGUAUUAGCUUUAGUACAAAGUUGUACUAAACUCGAGACACUUUAUUUUGGGACGGAGGGAGUAUAUUUAUAGCCGCCGUGGGUUGCUCAUGAGUCAAGAUUUGGAAACCUUCGGUUUUGAAUGGCCGAGGUUUACAAAUCCGCUGAGACAUGGGAUUGGAGACAUUUUUCUCUCUGGUGUAUAUGUACCUGCAACUUCCUUGUUCAUCCUAUGCUGCAUAAGCUGUAGUUUAUGUAAAAUAGUAUUUUGGCCUUCUGCACCUAUUUGUACUAUAUCUUAUCCGGCCUGUUUGAAGAUAUUGUUCUGUGGACUGGUGGAUUGGCAUGUCCGGUGACUCCGUCCCAAAUAGAAAGGCCAUGGCCUUGCUCACAAUGCUCGCAUUGUGGACAAUAUGGAAUGAAAGGAACGCAAGAG